Molecule: ribosomal RNA, 435 nt
Filed under: uncultured bacterium
Lineage: Bacteria
Also listed under: 1 other name
Description: bacterial SSU rRNA
Rfam family: Bacterial small subunit ribosomal RNA
Source: RNAcentral
AUUGAACGCUGGCGGUAUGCUUAAGACAUGCAAGUCGAACGGAAUCUUCGGAUUCAGUGGCGGACGGGUGAGUAACACGUGGGAAUCUACUGAGUAGUGGGGGACAGCCCGGCGAAAGCCGGAUUAAUACCGCAUACGCCCUACGGGGGAAAGGCGCAAGCCGCUAUUUAAUGAGCCCGCGUAAGAUUAGCUAGUUGGUGAGGUAAAGGCCCACCAAGGCAACGAUCUUUAGCUGGUCUGAGAGGAUGGCCAGCCACAUCGGGACUGAGACACGGCCCGGACUCCUACGGGAGGCAGCAGUCGGGAAUAUUGGACAAUGGGCGCAAGCCUGAUCCAGCAAUACCGCGUGUGUGAAGAAGGCCUGCGGGUUGUAAAGCACUUUCAGUUGGGAAGAUAAUGACGUUACCAACAGAAGAAGCACCGGCUAACUCCGUG